This 435-nucleotide ribosomal RNA is filed under the name uncultured bacterium. RNAcentral describes it as "partial 16S ribosomal RNA". It matches the Rfam family "Bacterial small subunit ribosomal RNA", at positions 29 to 507 of the family's 1533-position model. The record is from RNAcentral.
AGCGAACGCUGGCGGCAGGCUUAACACAUGCAAGUCGAGCGGGCAUCUUCGGAUGUCAGCGGCAGACGGGUGAGUAACACGUGGGGACGUACCCUUCGGUUCGGAACAACUCUGGGAAACUGGAGCUAAUACCGGAUACGCCCUUAUGGGGAAAGGUUUACUGCCGAAGGAUCGGCCCGCGUCUGAUUAGCUGGUUGGUGGGGUAACGGCCUACCAAGGCGACGAUCAGUAGCUGGUCUGAGAGGAUGAUCAGCCACACUGGGACUGAGACACGGCCCAGACUCCUACGGGAGGCAGCAGUGGGGAAUAUUGGACAAUGGGCGCAAGCCUGAUCCAGCCAUGCCGCGUGAGUGAUGAAGGCCUUAGGGUUGUAAAGCUCUUUUGUCCGGGACGAUAAUGACGGUACCGGAAGAAUAAGCCCCGGCUAACUUCGUG